ACGGGUGAGUAACGCGUAAUCAACCUGCCCUUCAGAGGGGGACAACAGUUGGAAACGACUGCUAAUACCGCAUACGAUCCAAUCUCGGCAUCGAGACUGGAUGAAAGGUGGCCUCUAUUUAUAAGCUAUCACUGAAGGAGGGGAUUGCGUCUGAUUAGCUAGUUGGAGGGGUAACGGCCCACCAAGGCAAUGAUCAGUAGCCGGUCUGAGAGGAUGAACGGCCACAUUGGGACUGAGACACGGCCCAAACUCCUACGGGAGGCAGCAGUGGGGAAUCUUCCGCAAUGGACGAAAGUCUGACGGAGCAACGCCGCGUGAGUGAUGAAGGUCUUCGGAUUGUAAAGCUCUGUUAAUCGGGACGAAAGAGUUCUGUGUGAAUAAUGCAGGAAAGUGACGGUACCGGAAUAGAAAGCCACGGCUAACUACGUGCCAGCAGCCGCGGUAAUACGUAGGUGGCAAGCGUUGUCCGGAAUUAUUGGGCGUAAAGCGCGCGCAGGCGGCCUAUCCAGUCUGUCUUAAAGUUCGGGGCUCAACCCCGUGAUGGGAUGGAAACUAGUAGGCUAGAGUAUCGGAGAGGAAAGCGGAAUUCCUAGUGUAGCGGUGAAAUGCGUAGAUAUUAGGAAGAACACCAGUGGCGAAGGCGGCUUUCUGGACGAAAACUGACGCUG
This 668-nucleotide ribosomal RNA is filed under the name uncultured bacterium. RNAcentral's name for it is "bacterial SSU rRNA". It matches the Rfam family "Bacterial small subunit ribosomal RNA", at positions 102 to 748 of the family's 1533-position model. The record is from RNAcentral.